UGGGGAAUUUUGGACAAUGGGCGAAAGCCUGAUCCAGCAAUGCCGCGUGUGUGAAGAAGGCCUUCGGGUUGUAAAGCACUUUUGUCCGGAAAGAAAUCCUUGGCUCUAAUACAGUCGGGGGAUGACGGUACCGGAAGAAUAAGCACCAGCUAACUACGUGCCAGCAGCCGCGGUAAUACGUAGGGUGCAAGCGUUAAUCGGAAUUACUGGGCGUAAAGCGUGCGCAGGCGGUUUGCUAAGACCGAUGUGAAAUCCCCGGGCUCAACCUGGGAACUGCAUUGGUGACUGGCAGGCUAGAGUAUGGCAGAGGGGGGUAGAAUUCCACGUGUAGCAGUGAAAUGCGUAGAGAUAUGGAGGAAUACCGAUGGCGAAGGCAGCCCCCUGGGCCAAUACUGACGCUCAUGCACGAAAGCGUGGGGAGCAAACAGGAUUAGAUACCCUGGUAGUCCACGCCCUAAAGCGAUGUCAACUAGUUGUUGGGGAUUCAUUUCCUUAGUAACGUAGCUAACGCGUGAAGUUGACCGCCUGGGGAGUACGGUCGCAAGAUU
RNAcentral lists this ribosomal RNA (548 nucleotides) under uncultured bacterium. RNAcentral's name for it is "partial 16S ribosomal RNA". It matches the Rfam family "Bacterial small subunit ribosomal RNA", at positions 355 to 895 of the family's 1533-position model. The record is from RNAcentral.